AAUGGAUUCAUAACAAGUUUAAAUUUAAGGUUAUUUCAUUUAUAUAGCACUUUAAAAGCAAACAAGUUUGCACAAAAUUGCUUCACAAAGACAAAAA
Sander lucioperca (pikeperch) is the source of this 97-nucleotide long non-coding RNA. RefSeq lists it as uncharacterized. The record is from RefSeq and is a predicted model, not a curated record. The transcript has 3 exons. NCBI's taxonomy places the organism in Eukaryota, Metazoa, Chordata, Actinopteri, Perciformes, Percidae.